AGAGCGAACGCUGGCGGCAGGCUUAACACAUGCAGGUCGAGCGGGCGUAGCAAUACGUCAGCGGCAGACGGGUGAGUAACGCGUGGGAACAUACCUUUUGGUUCGGAACAACACAGGGAAACUUGUGCUAAUACCGGAUAAGCCCUUACGGGGAAAGAUUUAUCGCCGAAAGAUUGGCCCGCGUCUGAUUAGCUAGUUGGUGAGGUAACGGCUCACCAAGGCGACGAUCAGUAGCUGGUCUGAGAGGAUGAUCAGCCACAUUGGGACUGAGACACGGCCCAAACUCCUACGGGAGGCAGCAGUGGGGAAUAUUGGACAAUGGGCGCAAGCCUGAUCCAGCCAUGCCGCGUGAGUGAUGAAGGCCCUAGGGUUGUAAAGCUUCUUUUGUGCGGGAAGAUAAUGACGGUACCGCAAGAAUAAGCCCCGGCUAACUUCGCGCCAGCAGCCGC
This 449-nucleotide ribosomal RNA is filed under the name uncultured bacterium. RNAcentral's name for it is "SSU rRNA". It matches the Rfam family "Bacterial small subunit ribosomal RNA", at positions 26 to 518 of the family's 1533-position model. The record is from RNAcentral.